Molecule: transfer RNA, 97 nt
Filed under: Candidatus Arthromitus sp. SFB-mouse-Japan
Lineage: Bacteria; Bacillati; Bacillota; Clostridia; Eubacteriales; Clostridiaceae
Also listed under: 2 other names
Description: tRNA-SeC (TCA) (tRNA-SeC-TCA-1-1)
Rfam family: Selenocysteine transfer RNA
Source: RNAcentral
GAGAGUAGAUGAGUUCUGGUGGACUUGCGAGUCUUCAAAACUAUGUUGUCGUGCUAAUACCACGAUAGGUGGGUUCGAUUCCUACAUACUCUCGCCA